UUUGCCGUUCGCGGUGAUUGCGUUGGAUCUUGCUUCUUUAUAAUCAUAAACGACUCUCGGCAACGGAUAUCUCGGCUCACGCAUCGAUGAAGAACGUAGCAAAAUGCGAUACUUGGUGUGAAUUGCAGAAUCCCGUGAACCAUCGAGUUUUUGAACGCAAGUUG
This 164-nucleotide ribosomal RNA is filed under the name Senecio squalidus. RNAcentral describes it as "5.8S ribosomal RNA". The stretch from base 52 to 164 matches the Rfam family "5.8S ribosomal RNA", at positions 1 to 113 of the family's 154-position model. Rfam says of the family: 5.8S ribosomal RNA (5.8S rRNA) is a component of the large subunit of the eukaryotic ribosome. The record is from RNAcentral. Lineage: Eukaryota; Viridiplantae; Streptophyta; Magnoliopsida; Asterales; Asteraceae.